AGUGAACGCUGGCGGUAUGCCUAACACAUGCAAGUCGAACGGCAGCAUAGUAAGAGCUUGCUCUUACGUGCGUCGAGUGGCGGACGCUUGAGGAAGACAUCGGAAUCUACUUUUUCGUGGGUGCUAACGUAGGGAAACUUACUCUAAUACCGCAUACGACCUACGUGUGAAAGCAGGCGUUCUUCUAACCUUUCGCUAUUGAAUGAGCCUAUGUCGGAUUAGCUAGUUGGCUGGGUAAAGGCCCACCAAGGCGACGAUCCGUAUCUGGUCUGAAGGGAUGAACAGAUAGACUGGCACUGAGACACGGUACAGACUCCUACGGGGGGAAGCGGUGGGGACUAUUGGACAAUGGGGGAGUGGCUAAUACAGGCAAACCGGGUGAGGGAAGAAGGACUAAGGGUGGGAGAGUCAUUUUGUUGGGAGAGAAAAACAGCAGGUUAAUACCCCACUAUAAUGACGGUACCCAAAGAAUAAGCACCGGCUAACUUCGUG
Molecule: ribosomal RNA, 492 nt
Filed under: uncultured bacterium
Lineage: Bacteria
Description: partial 16S ribosomal RNA
Rfam family: Bacterial small subunit ribosomal RNA
Source: RNAcentral